AUCCUUCGGGAUUAGUGGCAGACGGGUGAGUAACGCGUGGGAAGCUACCUUGUGGUAGGGAACAACAGUUGGAAACGACUGCUAAUACCCUAUGAGCCCUAUGGGGGAAAGAUUUAUCGCCAUGAGAUGUGCCCGCGUUAGAUUAGCUAGUUGGUAAGGUAAUGGCUUACCAAGGCGACGAUCUAUAGCUGGUCUGAGAGGAUGAUCAGCCACACUGGGACUGAGACACGGCCCAGACUCCUACGGGAGGCAGCAGUGGGGAAUAUUGGACAAUGGGGGCAACCCUGAUCCAGCCAUGCCGCGUGAGUGAUGACGGCCUUAGGGUUGUAAAGCUCUUUCAGCAGUGAAGAUAAUGACAUUAACUGCAGAAGAAGCCCCGGCUAACUUCGUGCCAGCAGCCGCGGUAAUACGAAGGGGGCUAGCGUUGUUCGGAAUCACUGGGCGU
RNAcentral lists this ribosomal RNA (445 nucleotides) under Pseudovibrio denitrificans. RNAcentral describes it as "bacterial SSU rRNA". It matches the Rfam family "Bacterial small subunit ribosomal RNA", at positions 81 to 561 of the family's 1533-position model. The record is from RNAcentral. Lineage: Bacteria; Pseudomonadati; Pseudomonadota; Alphaproteobacteria; Hyphomicrobiales; Stappiaceae.